UCUAGGGAUGGUAAGAUUUGGGCAAUUGGGGAGAUUUGACUUGAGGGAAUCGAGGAAGAAGAGAAAAGAGAAAAGAGAGAAAGAGGAUUAGAUUACGUUACGCCUGAAAGUGGGAGGGGAAGGAUCAUCCUCAUUAGAUUGUGAUCGUGCAGGGAAGGCGGGAGAAGAGCGACGUUCCCGCUAAUUAAGCGCCAUCUAUAUCAACA
RNAcentral lists this long non-coding RNA (206 nucleotides) under Linum usitatissimum (flax). RNAcentral describes it as "long non-coding RNA (LUSI_LNC007439)". The record is from RNAcentral. Lineage: Eukaryota; Viridiplantae; Streptophyta; Magnoliopsida; Malpighiales; Linaceae.